GGAGUGGACGCAUCACUGGUGUUCGGGUUGUCAUGCCAAUGGCACUGCCCGGUAGCUAAAUGCGGAAGAGAUAAGUGCUGAAAGCAUCUAAGCACGAAACUUGCCCCGAGAUGAGUUCUCCCUGAGACUUUAAGUCUCCUGAAGGAACGUUGAAGACGACGACGUUGAUAGGCCGGGUGUGUAAGCGCAGCGAUGCGUUGAGCUAACCGGUACUAAUGAACCGUGAGGCUUAACCUU
RNAcentral lists this ribosomal RNA (237 nucleotides) under Klebsiella pneumoniae. Its description in RNAcentral is "partial 23S ribosomal RNA". It matches the Rfam family "Bacterial large subunit ribosomal RNA", at positions 2694 to 2925 of the family's 2925-position model. RNAcentral also lists the same sequence under 1 other name. The record is from RNAcentral. Lineage: Bacteria; Pseudomonadati; Pseudomonadota; Gammaproteobacteria; Enterobacterales; Enterobacteriaceae.